This 259-nucleotide ribosomal RNA is filed under the name uncultured bacterium. Its description in RNAcentral is "partial 16S ribosomal RNA". It matches the Rfam family "Bacterial small subunit ribosomal RNA", at positions 524 to 781 of the family's 1533-position model. The record is from RNAcentral.
UACGAGGGGGGCUAGCGUUGCUCGGAAUUACUGGGCGUAAAGCGCACGUAGGCGGCUUUCUAAGUCGGGGGUGAAAUCCUGGAGCUCAACUCCAGAACUGCCUCGAUACUGGAGAGCUCGAGUCCGGGAGAGGUGAGUGGAACUGCGAGUGUAGAGGUGAAAUUCGUAGAAUAUUCGCAAGAACACCAGUGGCGAAGGCGGCUCACUGGCCCGGUACUGACGCUGAGGUGCGAAAGCGUGGGGAGCAAACAGGGAUUAA